GCUCGUAGUCGGAUUUCGGGGCGGGCCGAGCGGUCUGCCGAUGGGUAUGCACUGUUCGGCGCGUCCUUCUUUCCGGAGACCGCGCCUACUCUUAGCUGAGCGGGCGCGGGAGACGGAUCGUUUACUUUGAAAAAAUCAGAGUGUUUCAAGCAGGCAGCUCGCUCUUGCAUGGAUUAGCAUGGGAUAAUGAAAUAGGACUCUGGUGCUAUUUUGUUGGUUUCGAACACCGGAGUAAUGAUUAACAGGGACAGUCAGGGGCACUCGUAUUCCGUCGAGAGAGGUGAAAUUCUCAGACCAAUGGAAGACGAACCACUGCGAAAGCAUUUGCCAGGGAUGUUUUCACUGAUCAAGAACGAAAGUUAGGGGAUCGAAGACGAUCAGAUACCGUCGUAGUCUUAACCAUAAACCAUGCCGACUAGGGAUUGGAGGGUGUUCUAUUUGACCUCUUCAGCACCUUACGGGAAACUAAAGUCUUUGGGUUCCGGGGGGAGUAUGGUCGCAAGGCUGAAACUUAAAGGAAUUGACGGAAGGGCACCACCAGGAGUGGAGCCUGCGGCUUAAUUUGACUCAACACGGGGAAACUUACCAGGUCCAGACAUUGUUAGGAUUGACAGAUUGAGAGCUCUUUCUUGAUUCGAUGGGUGGUGGUGCAUGGCCGUUCUUAGUUGGUGGAGUGAUUUGUCUGGUUAAUUCCGUUAACGAACGAGACCUUAACCUGCUAAAUAGUGGCGCGAACUUUUUGUUGGCGGCUCACUUCUUAGAGGGACAACUUGUUUGCAACAAGUGGAAGUUUUGAGGCAAUAACAGGUUCUGUGAUGCCCU
The sequence is a ribosomal RNA, 822 nucleotides long. It matches the Rfam family "Eukaryotic small subunit ribosomal RNA", at positions 626 to 1473 of the family's 1831-position model.